This 210-nucleotide unclassified non-coding RNA is filed under the name plant metagenome. Its description in RNAcentral is "partial contains small subunit ribosomal RNA and internal transcribed spacer 1". The stretch from base 1 to 46 matches the Rfam family "Eukaryotic small subunit ribosomal RNA", at positions 1786 to 1831 of the family's 1831-position model. The record is from RNAcentral.
AAGUCGUAACAAGGUUUCCGUAGGUGAACCUGCGGAAGGAUCAUUACCGAGUUCAUGCCCUCACGGGUAGAUCUCCCACCCUUUGUAUACCUCACCUUUGUUGCUUUGGCGGGCCGCCUAGCUACUGGCUUCGGCUGGUAAGUGCCCGCCGGAGAACCCCCAAACCCAAACCAUUUAUAGUGUCGUCUGAGUAAAAUUUUAAUAUUUAAA